Molecule: ribosomal RNA, 498 nt
Filed under: uncultured bacterium
Lineage: Bacteria
Description: partial 16S ribosomal RNA
Rfam family: Bacterial small subunit ribosomal RNA
Source: RNAcentral
GAUGAACGCUAGCGGAAGGCCUAAUACAUGCAAGUCGAACGAUAGAAGAGGGCUUGCUCUCCUCGAAAGUGGCGCACGGGUUCGUAGCGCGUCUGCAACCUACCUUAAUCAGGGGCAUAGCUCGAAGAAUUUAGAAUUAACACCACAUAAAAUCAUAGUACAGAAAUGUAGAAUGAUCGAAUAUUAAAAGAAUUACGAAGGGAAUGCUUGACGUUAGCUAUGUGGCGGGGUAACGGCCCACAAAGGCGACGAGGUCUAGGGGAGCGGGGAGGAUGACCCCACACAAUGGUACUGAGACACGGACAAGACUCCUACGGGAGGCAGCAGUAAGGAAUAUUGGUCAAUGGAGGAAACUCUGAACCAGCCAUGCCGCGUGCAGGAAGACAGCCCUCUGGGUCGUAAACUGCUUUUAUUCGGGAAUGAACCUACUUACGUGUAAGUAGCUGAAUGUACCGAAGGAAUAAGGAUCGGCUAACUCCGUGCCAGCAGCCGCCGUAA